GUGGGGAAUAUUGCGCAAUGGGCGAAAGCCUGACGCAGCGACGCCGCGUGAGGGAUGAAGGUUUUCGGAUCGUAAACCUCUGUCAGAAGGGAAGAAACUACAUUGUGCUAAUCAGCAGUGUACUGACGGUACCUUCAAAGGAAGCACCGGCUAACUCCGUGCCAGCAGCCGCGGUAAUACGGAGGGGGCAAGCGUUAAUCGGAAUUACUGGGCGUAAAGCGCACGUAGGCUGUAGUGUAAGUCAGGGGUGAAAUCCCACGGCUCAACCAUGGAACUGCCUUUGAUACUGCACAACUUGAAUCCGGGAGAGGGUGGCGGAAUUCCAGGUGUAGGAGUGAAAUCCGUAGAUAUCUGGAGGAACAUCAGUGGCGAAGGCGGCCACCUGGACCGGUAUUGACGCUGAGGUGCGAAAGCGUGGGGAGCAAACAGGAUUAGAUACCCGAGUAGUCC
This 450-nucleotide ribosomal RNA is filed under the name uncultured bacterium. RNAcentral describes it as "partial 16S ribosomal RNA". It matches the Rfam family "Bacterial small subunit ribosomal RNA", at positions 354 to 796 of the family's 1533-position model. The record is from RNAcentral.